Molecule: ribosomal RNA, 497 nt
Filed under: uncultured bacterium
Lineage: Bacteria
Description: partial 16S ribosomal RNA
Rfam family: Bacterial small subunit ribosomal RNA
Source: RNAcentral
GAUGAACGCUGGCGGCGUGCCUAAUACAUGCAAGUCGAGCGAACGGACGAGAAGCUUGCUUCUCUGAUGUUAGCGGCGGACGGGUGAGUAACACGUGGAUAACCUACCUAUAAGACUGGGAUAACUUCGGGAAACCGGAGCUAAUACCGGAUAAUAUUUUGAACCGCAUGGUUCAAAAGUGAAAGACGGUCUUGCUGUCACUUAUAGAUGGAUCCGCGCUGCAUUAGUUAGUUGGUAAGGUAAUGGCUUACCAAGGCAACGAUGCGUAGCCGACCUGAGAGGGUGAUCGGCCACCCGGGAACUGAGACGCGGUCCAGACUCCUACGGGAGGCAGCGGUAGGGAAUCUUCCGCAAUGGGCGAAAGCCUGACGGAGCAACGCGGCGCGAGUGAUGAAGGUCUUCGGAUCGUAAAACUCUGUUAUUAGGGAAGAACAUCUGUGUACGUAAAUGUGCACAUCUUGACGGUACCUAAUCAGAAAGCCACGGCUAACUACGUG